AGAGCCAAGGGCCAGCGCCUGCGCCCUGACCUCCCCACCGCAAACCUGCGGCUGCUGCCCUUCUCCUCCAGCUGACUCAAGAGCAUCCUGGGAGAUAGAGAAUAAUCAAAGGAAAAAAGAGGAGAGAACAGAGCAGAUAUGAAAGUGGAAAAGAAAUAGAAGGGCAAGGAGGAAGAGACAGAAAGAAGGAGGCAGGAGGAGCAAAAGAGAAAAACAGGAGUGUACAGUGUUGGGAAAAAAAAGUUCCAGAGAACUGGAGAGGAAAAGAAGAAAGAAAAAGAAAAAAAAGACGUUUCGAUGACCAAAGCAAAUCAUGCUUUGAGGCUUCAGGAUAUGUUAACGCUUCAGAAAACUUUGUACAGAACCUACCACGUUCUGGAUGGUCCCCUGUGUGCUUUAAUGUAAAUACUCGUG
Molecule: long non-coding RNA, 414 nt
Filed under: Apteryx owenii (little spotted kiwi)
Lineage: Eukaryota; Metazoa; Chordata; Aves; Apterygiformes; Apterygidae
Description: lncRNA (ENSAOWG00000004913.1)
Source: RNAcentral